This 2322-nucleotide ribosomal RNA is filed under the name Triticum aestivum (bread wheat). RNAcentral describes it as "partial small subunit ribosomal RNA". Lineage: Eukaryota; Viridiplantae; Streptophyta; Magnoliopsida; Poales; Poaceae. The record is from RNAcentral.
AUGGGCUUCUCCGUGGCCGACGCGGUCAUCCCGGCGUGCGCCGUGGUCGGCAUUGCCUUCGCGCUCUGGCAGUGGUUCCUCGUCGCCAAGGUGAAGGUGUCCGCCUACGCGCCGGCCGGCAACGGCGUACACGGGCGGCCAGUGUUCCGGACGGAGGACGAGGAGGACGCCGGUAUCGGCGGCGGUGGAGGCGGCGAGAGCGACGACGAGGAGGAUGGAGGCGACGGCCCGGCGGCCGUGGCCAGGUGCGCGGAGAUCCAGAACGCCAUUUCAGUCGGAGCAAACUCGUUCCUUUUCACCCAGUACAAGUACCUGGCGGCCUUCACGGUGAUCUUCGCCGUGGUCAUCUUCCUCUUCCUUGGGUCCGUGCACCGGUUCAGCACCGCCAGCCAGCCGUGCCAGUACACCAAGGGCAAGACGUGCAAGCCGGCGCUGGCCAACGCGGUGUUCACCACCAUGGCCUUCCUCCUGGGCGCCGUCACCUCCGUCGUGUCGGGCUUCCUCGGCAUGCGGAUUGCCACGUUCGCCAACGCGAGAACCACACUGGAGGCGCGCCGCGGCAUCGGCGCGGCCUUCGCCACGGCGUUCCGGUCGGGCGCCGUCAUGGGGUUCCUCCUGUCGUCCCUGGGCCUCCUGGUGCUCUACGUCGCCAUCAAGCUCUUUGGGCUCUACUACCACGACGACUGGGAGGGCCUGUACGAGUCCAUCACCGGCUACGGGCUCGGCGGCUCGUCCAUGGCGCUGUUCGGGAGGGUCGGCGGCGGCAUCUACACCAAGGCGGCGGACGUCGGCGCCGACCUCGUCGGGAAGGUGGAGCGGAACAUCCCCGAGGACGACCCGAGGAACCCCGCGGUGAUCGCGGACAAUGUGGGCGACAACGUCGGGGACAUCGCCGGGAUGGGCUCCGACCUGUUCGGGUCCUACGCCGAGUCCACCUGCGCGGCGCUGUUCGUGGCGUCGAUCUCGUCGUUCGGCGCCGACCACGACUUUGCGGCGGUGUGCUACCCCCUGCUGAUAAGCUCGGCGGGGCUUGUGGUCUGCCUGGUCACCACGCUCUUCGCCACCGAUUUCUUCAAGGUCAAGACCGUCCGCGGGGUCGCGCCAGCGCUGAAGCUUCAGCUCAUCAUCUCCACCGCGCUGAUGACCGUGGCGGCCCUCGUCGUCACCUUCGCCGCGCUCCCUGCCAAGUUCACCAUGUUCGAUUUCGGGGAGCAGAAACAGGUCAAGAACUGGCAUGUGUUCUUCUGCGUCGCCAUUGGGUUAUGGGCAGGUCUUGCCAUCGGCUUCACCACAGAGUACUUCACCAGUAAUGCUUACAGCCCUGUUCGGGACGUGGCCGACUCUUGCAGGACCGGCGCGGCGACCAACGUCAUCUUCGGGCUGGCGCUCGGCUACAAAUCCGUCAUCGUGCCCGUGUUAGCCAUCGCCUUGUCAAUCUACGUCAGCUUCACCCUGGCAUCGAUCUACGGCAUCGCCAUCGCCGCGCUCGGGAUGCUCAGCACCGUGGCCACCGGGCUGGCCAUCGACGCGUACGGCCCGAUCAGCGACAACGCCGGAGGCAUCGCGGAGAUGGCCGGCAUGAGCCGCAGGAUCCGGCAGCGGACGGACGCCCUCGACGCCGCGGGCAACACCACCGCGGCCAUCGGCAAGGGGUUCGCCAUCGGCUCGGCGGCGCUGGUGUCGCUGGCGCUGUUCGGCGCGUUCGUGAGCCGCGCGGGCGUCACGGUGAUCAACGUGCUGAGCCCCAAGGUGUUCGCGGGGAUGCUCGCCGGCGGGAUGCUCCCCUACUGGUUCUCGGCGAUGACGAUGAAGAGCGUGGGCAGCGCGGCGCUGAAGAUGGUGGAGGAGGUGCGGCGGCAGUUCAGCACCAUCCCGGGGCUGAUGGAGGGGCGCGCGACGCCGGACUACGCCAGCUGCGUGAGGAUCUCGACGGACGCGUCGCUGAGGGAGAUGAUGCCCCCGGGGGCGCUGGUGCUGCUGGCGCCCCUCGUCGUCGGCACAUUCUUCGGCGUCCACACGCUCGCCGGCCUGCUCGCCGGCGCGCUCGUGUCCGGCGUGCAGGUGGCCAUAUCUGCUUCCAACAGCGGGGGAGCCUGGGACAACGCCAAGAAGUACAUCGAGGCCGGUGCGUCGGAGCACGCCAAGUCCCUGGGUCCCAAGGGUUCGGAGGCGCACAAGGCCGCCGUGAUCGGUGACACCAUCGGGGACCCGCUCAAGGAUACGUCCGGGCCGUCGCUCAACAUCCUCAUCAAGCUCAUGGCCGUCGAGUCGCUGGUCUUCGCGCCAUUCUUCGCGGCUCAUGGAGGCCUCAUAAUCAAAUGA